CGCCUCUUGACAAAUUAUAAGAGGUCCAGCCUGCCCAGUGACAUAGUUAAACGGCCGCGGUAUCCUGACCGUGCGAAGGUAGCAUAAUCACUUGUUCUUUAAAUAAGGACUAGUAUCAACGGCAUCACGAGGGUUAUACUGUCUCCUCUCUCCAAUCAGUGAAACUGAUCUCCCCGUGAAGAAGCGGGGAUAAAUUUAUAAGACGAGAAGACCCCAUGGAGCUUUAAACUCAACAACAACCUCCACCACAAAACUCUACGUAACUACGGAGGUUCUGUUUGUUAGUUUUGGGUUGGGGUGACCGCGGAGAAAAACCAAACCUCCACGACGAACGGAACUGACUCCUAAUCUAAGAGCCACCACUCUAAGAAUCAAUAUAUUGACAUAAAAUGAUCCGAUAAUCGAUCAACGAACCAAGUUACCCUGGGGAUAACAGCGCAAUCCAUUUCAAGAGCCCCUAUCGACAAAUGGGUUUACGACCUCGAUGUUGGAUCAGGGUAUCCCAGUGGUGCAGCCGCUACUAAAGGUUUGUUUGUUCAACAAUUAAAACCCUACGUGAUCU
This 562-nucleotide ribosomal RNA is filed under the name Nanorana sp. C SH-2019. Its description in RNAcentral is "partial large subunit ribosomal RNA". It matches the Rfam family "Bacterial large subunit ribosomal RNA", at positions 1829 to 2606 of the family's 2925-position model. Lineage: Eukaryota; Metazoa; Chordata; Amphibia; Anura; Dicroglossidae. The record is from RNAcentral.